RNAcentral lists this ribosomal RNA (449 nucleotides) under uncultured bacterium. Its description in RNAcentral is "bacterial SSU rRNA". It matches the Rfam family "Bacterial small subunit ribosomal RNA", at positions 354 to 795 of the family's 1533-position model. The record is from RNAcentral.
GUGGGGAAUUUUGGACAAUGGGGGCAACCCUGAUCCAGCCAUGCCGCGUGCGGGAAGAAGGCCUUCGGGUUGUAAACCGCUUUUGUCAGGGAAGAAAUCCUUUGGGUUAAUACCUCGGAGGGAUGACGGUACCUGAAGAAUAAGCACCGGCUAACUACGUGCCAGCAGCCGCGGUAAUACGUAGGGUGCGAGCGUUAAUCGGAAUUACUGGGCGUAAAGCGUGCGCAGGCGGUUUUGUAAGAUCGAUGUGAAAUCCCCGGGCUCAACCUGGGAACUGCAGUGGUGACUGCAAGGCUGGAGUGCGGCAGAGGGGGAUGGAAUUCCGCGUGUAGCAGUGAAAUGCGUAGAUAUGCGGAGGAACACCGAUGGCGAAGGCAAUCCCCUGGGCCUGCACUGACGCUCAUGCACGAAAGCGUGGGGAGCAAACAGGAUUAGAAACCCGGGUAGUC